UGGGGAAUAUUGCACAAUGGGCGCAAGCCUGAUGCAGCCAUGCCGCGUGUGUGAAGAAGGCCUUCGGGUUGUAAAGCACUUUCAGCGGGGAGGAAGGCGAUAAGGUUAAUAACCUUGUCGAUUGACGUUACCCGCAGAAGAAGCACCGGCUAACUCCGUGCCAGCAGCCGCGGUAAUACGGAGGGUGCAAGCGUUAAUCGGAAUUACUGGGCGUAAAGCGCACGCAGGCGGUCUGUCAAGUCGGAUGUGAAAUCCCCGGGCUCAACCUGGGAACUGCAUUCGAAACUGGCAGGCUAGAGUCUUGUAGAGGGGGGUGGAAUUCCAGGUGUAGCGGUGAAAUGCGUAGAGAUCUGGAGGAAUACCGGUGGCGAAGGCGGCCCCCUGGACAAAGACUGACGCUCAGGUGCGAAAGCGUGGGGAGCAAACAGGAUUAGAUACCUUGGUAGUCCACGCUGUAAACGAUGUCGAUUUGGAGGUUGUGCCCUUGAGGCGUGGCUUCCGGAGCUAACGCGUUAAAUCGACCGCCUGGGGAGUACGGCCGCAAGGUUA
This 549-nucleotide ribosomal RNA is filed under the name uncultured bacterium. Its description in RNAcentral is "bacterial SSU rRNA". It matches the Rfam family "Bacterial small subunit ribosomal RNA", at positions 355 to 896 of the family's 1533-position model. The record is from RNAcentral.